Coturnix japonica (Japanese quail) is the source of this 3685-nucleotide long non-coding RNA. RefSeq lists it as uncharacterized. The record is from RefSeq and is a predicted model, not a curated record. Lineage: Eukaryota; Metazoa; Chordata; Aves; Galliformes; Phasianidae.
CAAUCGGGUGCUUAUGCAAAUGAAGCGCGGGAAGCCACGCCCACAAGGCUGUGAGGGAGCGGCGGUGGAGGCAGAGUGGGGGGAGAUUAAUUGAACCCAGCUCUGGUUGUCUACAAGAACUACUGAGAAGUUUCCCAGCAAACUUCUGGACCCAAAGUAAAAUCACAGCCUCCACCACCUCGCCCCUUCCAGCAGCUUCUCGAGGAAUAUCUAAGUCAUACAAAGCUAUUAGCAGCACUGAGGGCUGCAGCUCACCAGUCAUUUCAAUGAGGAAAGCACUCAGACACAGCAACAGGCAACAGAACGCAGCACUCACAGAGAAAUGAACGUAAGAGGUUUGCAUUCCCCAAGCAGUAUGAUAGAAAUGGCAUCCUAAUGUGAGAAAACACUGCCUGCUGGAGUGCAGAUAGUUGCUGUGCCAUGUUUGCGUCCCACAUGCUGCAGCAUGGUGCUAUUAGCACUGAAGAGACAUCGGGAAGCCAGACAAGUUAGUUUCCAUCAGCUAAUCUGAACAGGUUCGUUUCCAUCAGCUAAUCUGAAUGUAAUGCUAAAAUGUAAGUAAACAACAUGAAUGAUGUAAACAGCUUUUUGUUUGUUGCUGAGGCCUAUGAUAUUAUCUGAAAUGAGAAGCUUUGCAACAAGCAGUAGAGGAUCAGGGUUGUUAUAGCCACGAGCAGCAGCUGAUUCUUUAGCACAAGAUCCAUUGGAGUCACUUGCUAUCGAAGGGCUUGCUUCAGAACUGAAACGUGUCGGUAAGGACAGGAGCAGGAAGUUUGAAACACAAGAUGAUGGUUUUGACUGAGUUAAUAUUUAAGACUGAUACUGGCAGAUACUCAGAUUUCAUUAAUAGCAUUCAUUUAUUUUACCUGACAGUAACAAGGACCCAUGACUGGACAUCCUCAGAAACAUGGUUGUGUCCUGUUCUUCUCCACAAUUAUUUCCACUCAGAGUGACCACUUCAGACCUUUAGCGAAGCCCGUUAAAAACAGGAACAUUUUCCAUUAGCCAAGUGAGUGUGAAAGUAAAGCUGACGUGUAAGGCAACUCACAACUGGAGAAAUCUGAUAUCUAGUCUCUGUUCUGCCACAAACUUCUCUGAGAGGAGGCGGGUCCGACUUGCCCAGAUGUCUGAAGUACUCCGUGAACUACCUCCUUUAAACUAUAAGCACUUAAGUACCUUUGUGGCUCCCAGACUUGCCAUUCAGUUCUUUAGUGCCUGAGAACUCACAAGAGAAACAUACACUUUGUGUUUCGUUGUUUCUGGAAACAAUACAGCAAAUAGAAGUUGACUAACAUACUUUCUCUUUUUAAAAUCAGUUUUGAUGCCUAAUGGAAGUGGAAAAAAGUACCUAACUGGGCCAGAUGCAGUGCAUAUCCAGUAUCAGUAUUAAAUAAUUUAUUGACUACAGACAAUUUAAAAGAGAAUGUCAAGAUACCUGAGGUCAUUGUCUAGAUACAGUAUUUUGAAAUGAAUUGUUAGGAUCCCCAUAGCACCCAUCAUCUAAAAUGCUAUAUUUGUGCUUAACUUAUGCCAUCUGCAAGGCCCUGAUGCCUGACGUGUGCAUUGUGUGACUGAAUUUAAGCCCUUGGCUCGUUCCCUUUCAAGUUAAACAAAUGUGUGACUUCUGCAGAAUAAAAGUCUUUGCACAAGCAGUCUUCUUUGUGAACACAGUUGCACUCCUGGAAGUUCUCCUCCUAAAUGUAUUCCUCAAGAGAAAUAUUACAGAAAGCAUCUGGUGCUCCCUUCACAAUUACCCAUCAGCUUUUAUGACCCGACUGUACCUUAGUUGUUGUCUACUGCUGUGUGUUUCUUUCAGUUUCUGUCCAGUUACUGAAUGGUAAAGGAAAGUAGAAUCCUGAUAUUAGGAGGUAUUUUAGUUACCAGCAGCCUGGCACCUUGACCUGCCCAGAAAUCUUAAGAAGGUGGUGAAUUCUAUAAACACAACCAGUCUACUCUGCUGAAGUCACCCAAAGGGAAAGGGGGAGAAUGUUUUUCUCAAUGGCAUGCACCAUACUGGCUUGAGACCAUCGCACUCUUCCAGACAGGUCAAUGACCUGCCAAGAUGGAUUUGCUUAAGUCGUUACUGGUUUAAGCAGAAUUUUAUCAUCAGUGAUUGAAACUUUUGUGAAGUUUUACAACCAAAUAGUAAUACUAAGAGAGGAACACGCUUCCAAACGAAAGUAGGCUUUUCUCUGCUUUCUCAAGUAUUCAGGUGCAUUCUUGAGAGACAAAAUUACAGCCAGGCAUGGGUUGCUGUGCUCACUGUAAGAGUAACUGGACGAGAUGUGACAUCCAGAGUUCACCUAAUGCUUUAUUCAUUCUUAUUUGAGUUGGUUCAAACCAAUAAGCUAAGAGAUGUAGCCUAUUGAAACACCAAGCUGUCUUCACCCCCGGUAAUGAGCGCCUACACCAUGGUGGGAUACCAGCUUUUGAACUCACUUUGUGGCUGUGAUAUUUCUGCUUGGAUUUUCCUAAUGAGCAAGUUGAGAGCAGGACGGUGCAUCUCCACUGCCUUCCAGAAAGCACUGUACCCAACAGCCGUCAGCUGAAAACCAGUCUAUCCACACAAGCUAAGUCAGAAGAUGCUGUGUAGAUGGACUGUGUCCUGGAAAAGUCCACCUGGCCAUGGUGCGCGUGCAGAUACUAUUGGAGUGCCCAUUAGGUCCAUAUCUGUUCUUCCUGUGAUACAAACCUACUAUAGAAGGGCACAGUUCUUUCACUGUCCAUACAUAAAUGCAAAAGCUUGAUGCUUCCUGUAAAGGUCGGAUUGAGAAGAUCAGUGCUGUAAAAUUGAACGAGUUAUGCAGUGGAUGUGUUUGCAAUUCAAAGACCUCCGGCAGCUCAGAGAGAAAGAAAAGGAGGGGGCAGCUGCCAUGCAGUAACGCAGACUGGACUGCUACAAGACUAGAGAUUUCAUAAGAAAUUAAAAGAUCCUCAAAUUCUGUUCAUUAAAUAAAAAACAACAAAUCAAACCAAUACAAAAAAAAAACAAAAAAAAAAACCCUUCAGAAGCAGAGAAUGAGGAUAUGUGAGCACCUAACUAGAGGCUUACCCACUCUCUCCAUUUGAUUGCCACUUAUAAAGCCCUGUGCAAGUGUCAGAUGGGUGAUUGACAUGCUACAUGUCUUUCAUUUCUUUACUCUAUGAAUCAUUCAGCAGAGCCAUAUGAAACAUGGAUAGAUAGGAAAAUUGAUAUGGUUUCUCAAAGGUCAGAAAAGCCAGCACGUUACCAGCAUGUCAAACAAGUGGCAGUCCUGCAUUCAUUAUCACCAGGCUUGGUGCACCAUUUUAGCAUUGUUUGCAUAGGACUUUUGUUGCCUUCUUAGAGGAAGGAAGGGCAGCUGAUAAAGUUUGUGCCCUGACACUACAAAAUGACUUCCCAUCCUCAAAAUUAUACACGCAAAUUUGCAACGUGAGUGUUCAGAUAAUUACAUGAGAAGGUGAGAUGUCAGUCUAUGGAAUUCUUCCUCGAGGGUGGUGUCACACACCUUUUCAUUAGCAGCUUUUAAACCUGAACUAGAUAAAGCACUCUCAAUUAUGUUUAUCAUAUGAAACAAUUACAGCCUGGCCAGGAGAGCCGAGCUUGCCAACCUAAUAGGCUUUUUAAUAUGUAAUUUCUUGGACAAAAACGUAAUUCUAAAAACCAUUAUGUCACUACCCAACCAAGAAAUCCUUCCUCUCUGUA